This 492-nucleotide ribosomal RNA is filed under the name uncultured bacterium. RNAcentral describes it as "partial 16S ribosomal RNA". It matches the Rfam family "Bacterial small subunit ribosomal RNA", at positions 29 to 507 of the family's 1533-position model. The record is from RNAcentral.
AGUGAACGCUGGCGGUAGGCCUAACACAUGCAAGUCGAACGGCAGCACAGUAAGAGCUUGCUCUUACGGGUGGCGAGUGGCGGACGGGUGAGGAAUACAUCGGAAUCUACUUUUUCGUGGGGGAUAACGUAGGGAAACUUACGCUAAUACCGCAUACGACCUACGGGUGGAAGCAGGGGAUCUUCGGACCUUGCGCGAUUGAAUGAGCCGAUGUCGGAUUAGCUAGUUGGCGGGGUAAAGGCCCACCAAGGCGACGAUCCGUAGCUGGUCUGAGAGGAUGAUCAGCCACACUGGAACUGAGACACGGUCCAGACUCCUACGGGAGGCAGCAGUGGGGAAUAUUGGACAAUGGGCGCAAGCCUGAUCCAGCCAUACCGCGUGGGUGAAGAAGGCCUUCGGGCUGUAAAGCCCUUUUGUUGGGAAAGAAAAGCAGCAGGUUAAUACCCCGCUGUUCUGACGGUACCCAAAGGAUAAGCACCGGCUAACUUCGUG